RNAcentral lists this ribosomal RNA (212 nucleotides) under uncultured bacterium. RNAcentral's name for it is "partial 16S ribosomal RNA". It matches the Rfam family "Bacterial small subunit ribosomal RNA", at positions 28 to 237 of the family's 1533-position model. The record is from RNAcentral.
GAUAAACGCUGGCGGCGUGCCUUACGCAUGCAAGUCGCACGGCUCCGGGCAACCGGAGUAGUGGCGGACGGGUGAGGAACACGUACCUGACCUAUCCCGGAGCGGGGGAUACCCGGACGAAAGUCCGGUUAACACCGCAUGAGCUCUCCCGGUUGCGGCGGGGAGAGGAAAAUCUGUCUUUGGGCAGGUGCUCGGGGGCGGGGGGUGGCGGC